This 488-nucleotide ribosomal RNA is filed under the name uncultured bacterium. RNAcentral's name for it is "partial 16S ribosomal RNA". It matches the Rfam family "Bacterial small subunit ribosomal RNA", at positions 28 to 507 of the family's 1533-position model. The record is from RNAcentral.
GACGAACGCUGGCGGCGUGCUUAACACAUGCAAGUCGAACGGAUAGGCCCUGCUUUUGUGUGGUGCUCGCGUGGCGAGCGGGUGUGUAACCUGGGAGUCACCUGCCCUUGGCUUUGUGAUAACUUCAGGCAAGUGCGGCUAAUACAUGAGACGAGCUGCUGCUGCAUGGUGGGGGUCGGACAGCUCGCGCGGUUGUGGAUGUACUUAGGUCUGACUAGCUAGUUGGUGGGGUAGUGGCCUACCAAGGCGUUGACGCGUAGCCGGCCUGAGAGGAUGAUCAGUCACACUGGAACUGAGACACGGUCCAGACUCCUACGGGAGGCAGCAGUGGGGAAUAUUGGACAAUGGGCGAAAGCCUGAUCCAGUCAUGCCGAGUGUGUGAAGAAGGUCUUCGGAUUGUAAAGCACGUUAAGUUGGGAGGAAGGGCAGUAAGUUAAUACCUUGCUGUUUUGACGGUACCAACAGAAUAAGCACCGGCUAACUUCGUG